AGCGGUGGAUGAUGUGGAUUAAUUCGAUGCAACGCGAAAAACCUUACCUACCCUUGACAUGUCCAGAAGCUCUUAGAGAUUUGAGUGUGCCCGAAAGGGAGCUGGAACACAGGUGCUGCAUGGCUGUCGUCAGCUCGUGUCGUGAGAUGUUGGGUUAAGUCCCGCAACGAGCGCAACCCUUGUCGUUAAUUGCCAUCAUUUAGUUGGGCACUUUUAACGAGACUGCCGGUGACAAACCGGAGGAAGGUGGGGAUGACGUCAAGUCCUCAUGGCCCUUAUGGGUAGGGCUUCACACGUCAUACAAUGGUCGGUACAGAGGGUUGCCAAGCCGCGAGGUGGAGCCAAUCCCAGAAAGCCGAUCGUAGUCCGGAUUGCAGGCUGCAACUCGCCUGCAUGAAGUCGGAAUCGCUAGUAAUCGCGGAUCAGCAUGUCGCGGUGAAUACGUU
RNAcentral lists this ribosomal RNA (446 nucleotides) under uncultured bacterium. Its description in RNAcentral is "bacterial SSU rRNA". It matches the Rfam family "Bacterial small subunit ribosomal RNA", at positions 928 to 1372 of the family's 1533-position model. The record is from RNAcentral.